GAUGAACGCUGGCGGCGUGCUUAACACAUGCAAGUCGAACGGAAAGGCCUUGUUCUUGUGGCGUGCUCGAGUGUCGCACGUGAGAGUCUCACGUGAGUAACGUGCCCAUAACUUUGAGCUACUUCUAGGAACCCGGGGCCAAUACAGGAUAGGAGCUAAUGCUGCCUGGUGGGGGCUGGCGAGUUACGGCGGUUGUGGAUGGGCAAGAGGCUUAUCAGCUGGUUGUUGGUGAAGUGACCUACCAAGUCGUUGACGGGUAGCCGGCCGGAGAGGGUGACCGGCCACAAUGGGACUAAGAAGAGGCCCAGACGCCUACGGGAGGCAGCAGUAGUGAAUAUUUCACAGUAAGCGGAGGCCUGAUGCAGCAGCGCCGCGGGCGGGAUGAAGGCGGUCGAGUUGUAAACAGCUGUUUCCUGUGACGAAGAGGGAGUGACGGUAACUGGUAAAGAAGCACCGGCUAACUACGUG
RNAcentral lists this ribosomal RNA (468 nucleotides) under uncultured bacterium. RNAcentral describes it as "partial 16S ribosomal RNA". It matches the Rfam family "Bacterial small subunit ribosomal RNA", at positions 28 to 507 of the family's 1533-position model. The record is from RNAcentral.